CUCCACCUGACGCUGGCCCUGCUGACGCUGCUGAGCGGGCCGGAGCGGCGCCGCCUCUGUCAGACGCUCCAGCAGCACGCCGAUCAGCUGCGGAGUCUACUGGCGCCAUCCGGGCUCUCGCUGCGCGUGCGGGGGCUGGACAUCAUGAAUGACGACCCGGGGGAGACUCGCGUGGUGUUCGCGCGCGUCCAGGACGCGGACGGGGGCGACGGGAUGCAGCGACUGGCCGACCGCUGCAGGGAGUUGGCCGUAAGCACAGGCCUAGGUAAAAACGAGGAUUACGACAGGGUGAAGCUGCACUGCACCCUGA
Long non-coding RNA from Pollicipes pollicipes, 310 nucleotides. RefSeq lists it as uncharacterized. The record is from RefSeq and is a predicted model, not a curated record. The transcript is spliced from 3 exons. Lineage: Eukaryota; Metazoa; Arthropoda; Thecostraca; Pollicipedomorpha; Pollicipedidae.